ACGGAAGGCAGCAGUGGGGGAUAUUGCACAAUGGGCGCAAGCCUGAUGCAGCAACGCCGCGUGAGGGAAGACGGUUUUCGGAUUGUAAACCUCUGUCUUUGGUGAAGAUAAUGACGGUAGCCAAGGAGGAAGCCACGGCUAACUACGUGCCAGCAGCCGCGGUAAUACGUAGGUGGCAAGCGUUGUCCGGAAUUAUUGGGUGUAAAGGGAGCGCAGGCGGGACAGCAAGUUGGAUGUGAAAUACCGCAGCUUAACUGCGGAGCUGCAUCCAAAACUGUUGUUCUUGAGUGGAGUAGAGGCAGGCGGAAUUCCGAGUGUAGCGGUGAAAUGCGUAGAUAUUAGGAGGAACACCAGUGGCGAAGGCGGCCUGCUGGACGACAACUGACGCUGAGGCGCGAAAGCGUGGGGAGCAAACAGGAUUAGAUACCCUGGUA
This 434-nucleotide ribosomal RNA is filed under the name uncultured Oscillospiraceae bacterium. RNAcentral's name for it is "bacterial SSU rRNA". It matches the Rfam family "Bacterial small subunit ribosomal RNA", at positions 341 to 792 of the family's 1533-position model. The record is from RNAcentral. Lineage: Bacteria; Bacillati; Bacillota; Clostridia; Eubacteriales; Oscillospiraceae.